Molecule: ribosomal RNA, 510 nt
Filed under: uncultured bacterium
Lineage: Bacteria
Description: partial 16S ribosomal RNA
Rfam family: Bacterial small subunit ribosomal RNA
Source: RNAcentral
GACGAACGCUGGCGGCGUGCUUAACACAUGCGAGUCGAACGAAGAGCGAUGGAAGCUUGCUUCUAUCAAUCUUAGUGGCGAACGGGUGAGUAACGCGUAAUCAACCUGCCCUUCAGAGGGGGACAACAGUUGGAAACGACUGCUAAUACCGCAUACGAUCUGACCUCGGCAUCGAGGAUAGAUGAAAGGUGGCCUCUAUUUAUAAGCUAUCACUGAAGGAGGGGAUUGCGUCGGAUUAGCUAGUUGGAGGGGUAACGGCCCACCAAGGCGAUGAUCAGUAGCCGGUCUGAGAGGAUGAACGGCCACAUUGGGACUGAGACACGGCCCAGACUCCUACGGGAGGCAGCAGUGGGGAAUCUUCCGCAAUGGACGAAAGUCUGACGGAGCAACGCCGCGUGAGUGAUGACGGCCUUCGGGUUGUAAAGCUCUGUUAAUCGGGACGAAAGGCCUUCUUGCGAAUAGUUAGAAGGAUUGACGGUACCGGAAUAGAAAGCCACGGCUAACUACGUG